CUACGGGAGGCAGCAGUCGAGAAUCAUUCGCAAUGGAGGGAACUCUGACGAUGCGACGCCGUGUGAACGAAGAAGGCCUUCGGGUUGUAAAGUUCUUUCGCUUGGGAACAAGAGAAGUUGGUGAAUAGUCAGCUGAUUUGAGUGUACCAGGUAAAGAAGCACCGGCUAACUCCGUGCCAGCAGCUGCGGUAAUACGGAGGGUGCAAGCAUUAAUCGGAUUUAUUGGGCGUAAAGGGCGCGUAGGCGGAAGGAUAAGUCAGUUGUGAAAUUCCGUAGCUCAACUACGGAGCAGCAAUUGAAACUAUUCAUCUGGAGGUUAGACGGAGAAAGCGGAAUUCCACGUGUAGCGGUGAAAUGCGUAGAUAUGUGGAAGAACACCGGUGGCGAAGGCGGCUUUCUAGUUUAAUCCUGACGCUGAGGCGCGAAAGCAAGGGGAGCAAACAGGAUUAGAUACCCCGGUAGUC
RNAcentral lists this ribosomal RNA (464 nucleotides) under uncultured bacterium. Its description in RNAcentral is "partial 16S ribosomal RNA". It matches the Rfam family "Bacterial small subunit ribosomal RNA", at positions 339 to 795 of the family's 1533-position model. The record is from RNAcentral.